GAUGAACGCUGACCGAAUGCUUAACACAUGCAAGUCUUUGGCGAAGCUGUGCUUGCACAGCCUAGCCAAGGCGGACGGGUGAGUAACGCGUAAGGAACUUGCCCUGCAGUCAGGGAUAACAGACGGAAACGACUGAUAAGACCUGGUAAAGUCAGGCGGACUCAUGUCCAGCCUGAUGAAAAGAGAUGCUGCAGGAGAGCCUUGCGUCCUAUUAGCUUGUUGGUGGGGUAACGGCCCACCAAGGCGAUGAUAGGUAGCCGGCCUGAGAGGGUGGACGGCCACAAGGGGACUGAGAUACGGCCCUUACUCCUACGGGAGGCAGCAGUGGGGAAUAUUGGACAAUGGGGGCAACCCUGAUCCAGCAAUUCUGUGUGCACGAUGAAGGUUUUCGGAUUGUAAAGUGCUUUCAGCAGGGAAGAAAAAAUGACGGUACCUGCAGAAGAAGCGACGGCUAAAUACGUG
RNAcentral lists this ribosomal RNA (462 nucleotides) under uncultured bacterium. RNAcentral describes it as "partial 16S ribosomal RNA". It matches the Rfam family "Bacterial small subunit ribosomal RNA", at positions 28 to 507 of the family's 1533-position model. The record is from RNAcentral.